AAAGGCCCGCUACUCGCUGCUCCUAAAAACAAUCCAAGGAGGUGGCCGACAGAGGGGUCAGUUUUGGGAGAGGUGUCCUGAUACCCUGCUCUUGAAAGAGUUCAAGUCGUAGGCAGGAGGAAAUACAGAUAAAGGAAGAUUGUUCCAAAGUUUACCAGCGUGAGGGAUGAAAGAGUGCAGAUGCUGGUUAAGGGAUUUGGACAGUAAAGGGAUGAGCAUGAGAAGAAAGUCGUGUGCAGCGUGGCCGCGGGAGGGGGGAGACAUGCAGUUAGCAAGUUCAGAAGAGCACGCAGCGUGAAAAUAACGAUAGAAGAUUGAGAGGCAACAUGGCGGUGGAAUUUAAGAGGUAGAAGACUAUCAGUAAGAGGAGGAGAGCUGAUGAGACGAAGAGCUCCACUCUCCAAUAGAGCUUGUUCCUCAUAGGCCACCGACACAGCCGCACUUUAAGGUGAGUCUUACUAUAGUUAUAUUGUGAUAACACCAUUAAUACCCACAACUGUUUCAUUACUACUGACUGUGGGAGUGAUGCAGAAUUACCCUUUCAUGCACCAUGACGCGAUUCGCGUCAAAACGGAAUCGUCUACAUGUGAGCUUUAGACUGUAAUCCCGUCAAAAACUUUAAAAAAUUCGCCAUAAAUAAUCUUUCAGAAUCGCGUCAAAUUUUUUCGCGUUUAAGAUCCAAGCUAGACCUAUAAAAUAAACGAAUUGUCAACUCUUUCGUGCCGUUGUAUUUGAAGUAUUAAAUUAUUGCCCGAGGCUUUGUUGCCUCUCAGCAGGCAGCCUGUGAGUGCGAACUGUCGUCCCUUUAAUAAAUUGUCCUGUCCAGAGCCUUGUAAGCCUAGAUUACACUUGUCAGACGAAAUUGGUGAAAUGUAUUCUUACUUCUGAUGUAAAGUGAUCGUGCCGUGAUACAAUAUUUUGUUUUAUAUUUGCAGGGACCAGUAACUGUUUAUAUUAGAAAAUAUCGCUUAAAAAUUAUCAAGUGAAGAGAUUUUGAGACCCAUUUGUACAGAGCAUGAUGAUGAUUUUCAUGAAAGUGAUAAAAAAAAAAAAAACUCCAGCAGUGUUAGGGAGAGGCUUAGUGGUAUUUAUUAUGAUUAUUAUUGCAUCUGGCGAAGUUCUUCCAGACAGCAAAUAGGUGCACUAAUAGUCAUGUUUGUUAAUAUUAUCAAAACUCUAUUCCAGACAAAAUAGACUUCUAUUCUGACUGCCUUGAGCUGCCUGUUGUGUUUUGUUUGCUGCCCUUGAGCUGUUUCUUCUACUGGAGAGAACAGAAUAGAUAGAAAAAUAUAGUUUUCCUCCAUUUUCUCAAGAACUACUAGUCAUAUGAAAAUUCCAAUGAUAACGUUGGAAUCCUCAUAAAAAUCCCUUUAUUAGCAUAUAAAUCAUAAAAAGUCGGCUCAGGAAGUUUCGAGCUACAAGGUGGUGAAUGUAUGCAUUUCUUAUUUAUCUUUAAUCAAUGUUUUUUUUUGGAGUUGGUAAACUUCGCUAUUUAUUUGCAUCUCUUGAUAUUUUUUUCUUUCACAAGGCAGAAUAAUCUCUUCCAAAACCAAUGAUAUAUAAUAUUAUUAUACAUAUCAUUGGAUUUGGAAUUCUGGCAUUAUUAUUAAUAAUGCCAGGAAAAAAAAAACUCGUGGGUGAAAUUGAUAACAUGAAAAAAAAAAAUUUGCUGCAGUCAGGUCAUUCUGCGAGAACCCCUAGGAAGCCCCAGAUGGAUGUCGCAGUGAAAAGAGAAACUUACUAAACUUUUGGUGCGUGAAAGGGUUAAGAAGCUGCCAUGGGAGCACCAUUACAAUUGUAUCAUAUUCCAUUUUUUUACAGAAAAAGAUGACUACUGACAAUUAACCCCUUGGAUGCAGAUUUCCUACAAGACAUCACCAAGCUACAGGAGUGCUACAAUUCACUGAAGAAAAAUGUAGUCAUGCACCUUGGGAGGGGAAAUCCAGCAUACCAAUACCACAUGGGAAACACUCCACUAUCCACCACAGAGGCAGAGAAAGACCUGGGAAUUUAUGUUACCAGGCUACCAGUAAAGGCGAAAUCUGUGCCAAUCGCAGCAGACAGAUUAAAAAUUUCUCUUCCUGUACUUCGUCUGCUGAAAGCUGCUGGAAAACAAAGUUGCCCCUUUGCUUGGCACCUCCCACAACAUCCCUCUGGUCCUUUGUGAACUCAGCUAUGCGAGCCAAUGUUGACUUGUCCCGGCUCAGGAAGGACCCCCUCUGUUUUGAGAAAAUAUCAAGGAAAUACACAGCCCAAGAAGCUCAUCAUCAUCAGGCUCGUCUUGAGAGAGGGGAAGCAUUGCAGGGCCACCUGGAGUAGUCUUCAGUGGGCUGGACUGAGCCGCCUUGGGACCGGCAAAACGACCCGUGCACAAGCCAAGCAGAUCGCUC
Long non-coding RNA from Eriocheir sinensis (Chinese mitten crab), 2390 nucleotides. RefSeq lists it as uncharacterized. Lineage: Eukaryota; Metazoa; Arthropoda; Malacostraca; Decapoda; Varunidae. The record is from RefSeq and is a predicted model, not a curated record. The transcript is spliced from 3 exons.